GAUGAAGAACGUAGCGAAAUGCGAUAAGUAGUGUGAAUUGCAGAAUUCAGUGAAUCAUCGAAUCUUUGAACGCACAUUGCGCCCCUUGGUAUUCCAUGGGGCAUGCCUGUUCGAGCGUCAUUUGUACCUUCAAGCUCUGCUUGGUGUUGGGUGUUUGUCUCGCCUCUGCGCGCAGACUCGCCUCAAAACGAUUGGCAGCCGGCGUAUUGAUUUCGGAGCGCAGUACAUCUCGCGCUUUGACAACAAAACGACGACGUCCAAAAAGUACAUUUUUUACACUCUUGACCUCUGAUCAGGUAGGGAUACCCGCUGAACUUAAGCAUAUCAAUAAGCGGAGGA
RNAcentral lists this unclassified non-coding RNA (339 nucleotides) under soil metagenome. RNAcentral describes it as "partial contains 5.8S ribosomal RNA, internal transcribed spacer 2, and large subunit ribosomal RNA". The stretch from base 1 to 120 matches the Rfam family "5.8S ribosomal RNA", at positions 35 to 154 of the family's 154-position model. The record is from RNAcentral.